GGGCCUCUAGCUCAAUCGGCAGAGCAGCGGACUUUUAAUCCGCGGGUUCGGGGUUCGAUCCCCCGGGGGCCCACCU
Molecule: transfer RNA, 76 nt
Filed under: uncultured Pseudonocardia sp.
Lineage: Bacteria; Bacillati; Actinomycetota; Actinomycetes; Pseudonocardiales; Pseudonocardiaceae
Description: tRNA-Lys-TTT
Rfam family: tRNA
About the family: Transfer RNA (tRNA) molecules are approximately 80 nucleotides in length. Their secondary structure includes four short double-helical elements and three loops (D, anti-codon, and T loops). Further hydrogen bonds mediate the characteristic L-shaped molecular structure. tRNAs have two regions of fundamental functional importance: the anti-codon, which is responsible for specific mRNA codon recognition, and the 3' end, to which the tRNAs corresponding amino acid is attached (by aminoacyl-tRNA synthetases). tRNAs cope with the degeneracy of the genetic code in two manners: having more than one tRNA (with a specific anti-codon) for a particular amino acid; and 'wobble' base-pairing, i.e. permitting non-standard base-pairing at the 3rd anti-codon position.
Source: RNAcentral